This 369-nucleotide ribosomal RNA is filed under the name Triticum aestivum (bread wheat). RNAcentral describes it as "partial small subunit ribosomal RNA". Lineage: Eukaryota; Viridiplantae; Streptophyta; Magnoliopsida; Poales; Poaceae. The record is from RNAcentral.
AUGAGCAUGAUGAAAACUAGCUUGAUGAUAUUCCCAUGUGUCCUUGGGAGCGCUUUUCUCUAUAUAAGAAUUUGUCCAGGCUUGUCCUUUGCUACAAAAAGGAUGGGCCACCUUGCUACACCUUAUUUACUUUUGUUACUUGUUUCUCGUUACAAAUUAUGCUAUCACAAAACUAUCUGUUACCACUUGUUUCAGUACAUGCAGAGAAUACCUUGCUGGAAACUGCUUAUCAUUUCCUUCUGCUCCUCGUUGGGUUCGACACUCUUACUUAUCGAAAGGACUGUGAUAGAUCCCCUAUACUUGUGGGUCAUCAAGAAUCUUUUCUGGCGCCGUUUCCGGGGAGGUGAGUGCUUGAAGGUAUAUCUUUAG